CGGUAAUACCAGCUCUCCGAGUGGUGUGGACGUUUAUUGGGCCUAAAGCAUCCGUAGCUGGCUAGGUCAGUCCCUUGUUAAAUCCACCGAAUUAAUCGUUGGAUUGCGGGGGAUACUGCUUGGCUAGGGGACGAGAGAGGCAGACGGUAUUUUCGGGGUAGGGGUGAAAUCCUAUAAUCCCGGGAAGACCACCAGUGGCGAAGGCUGUCGGCUAGAACGCG
RNAcentral lists this ribosomal RNA (221 nucleotides) under uncultured crenarchaeote. RNAcentral's name for it is "partial 16S ribosomal RNA". It matches the Rfam family "Archaeal small subunit ribosomal RNA", at positions 468 to 689 of the family's 1478-position model. Lineage: Archaea; Thermoproteati; Thermoproteota. The record is from RNAcentral.